This 2915-nucleotide ribosomal RNA is filed under the name Vibrio cholerae. RNAcentral describes it as "bacterial LSU rRNA". It matches the Rfam family "Bacterial large subunit ribosomal RNA". The record is from RNAcentral. Lineage: Bacteria; Pseudomonadati; Pseudomonadota; Gammaproteobacteria; Vibrionales; Vibrionaceae.
GUUGUAUGGUUAAGUGACUAAGCGUACACGGUGGAUGCCUGGGCAGUCAGAGGCGAUGAAGGACGUACUAACUUGCGAUAAGCGCAGAUAAGGCAGUAAGAGCCGUUUGAGUCUGCGAUUUCCGAAUGGGGAAACCCAACUGCAUAAGCAGUUACUGUUAACUGAAUACAUAGGUUAACAGAGCAAACCGGGGGAACUGAAACAUCUAAGUACCCCGAGGAGAAGAAAUCAACCGAGAUUCCGGUAGUAGCGGCGAGCGAACCUGGAUUAGCCCUUAAGCACUCGGUGAAGUAGGUGAACAAGCUGGAAAGCUUGGCGAUACAGGGUGAUAGCCCCGUAACCGACGCUUCAUCGAGCGUGAAAUCGAGUAGGGCGGGACACGUGAUAUCCUGUCUGAAUAUGGGGGGACCAUCCUCCAAGGCUAAAUACUCCUGACUGACCGAUAGUGAACCAGUACCGUGAGGGAAAGGCGAAAAGAACCCCUGUGAGGGGAGUGAAAUAGAACCUGAAACCGUGUACGUACAAGCAGUAGGAGCACCUUCGUGGUGUGACUGCGUACCUUUUGUAUAAUGGGUCAGCGACUUAUAUUCAGUGGCAAGGUUAACCGUAUAGGGGAGCCGUAGCGAAAGCGAGUCUUAACUGGGCGUUCAGUCUCUGGAUAUAGACCCGAAACCGGGUGAUCUAGCCAUGGGCAGGUUGAAGGUUGAGUAACAUCAACUGGAGGACCGAACCGACUAAUGUUGAAAAAUUAGCGGAUGACUUGUGGCUAGGGGUGAAAGGCCAAUCAAACUCGGAGAUAGCUGGUUCUCCCGAAAGCUAUUUAGGUAGCGCCUCGGACGAAUACUACUGGGGGUAGAGCACUGUUAAGGCUAGGGGGUCAUCCCGACUUACCAACCCUUUGCAAACUCCGAAUACCAGUAAGUACUAUCCGGGAGACACACGGCGGGUGCUAACGUCCGUCGUGGAGAGGGAAACAACCCAGACCGCCAGCUAAGGUCCCAAAGUAUUGCUAAGUGGGAAACGAUGUGGGAAGGCUCAGACAGCUAGGAUGUUGGCUUAGAAGCAGCCAUCAUUUAAAGAAAGCGUAAUAGCUCACUAGUCGAGUCGGCCUGCGCGGAAGAUGUAACGGGGCUAAGCAAUACACCGAAGCUGCGGCAAUGUCUUUUAGACAUUGGGUAGGGGAGCGUUCUGUAAGCCGUUGAAGGUGAAUCGUAAGGUUUGCUGGAGGUAUCAGAAGUGCGAAUGCUGACAUGAGUAACGACAAAGGGGGUGAAAAACCUCCUCGCCGGAAGACCAAGGGUUCCUGUCCAACGUUAAUCGGGGCAGGGUGAGUCGACCCCUAAGGUGAGGCCGAAAGGCGUAAUCGAUGGGAAACGGGUUAAUAUUCCCGUACUUCUGACUAUUGCGAUGGGGGGACGGAGAAGGCUAGGUGGGCCAGGCGACGGUUGUCCUGGUUCAAGUGCGUAGGCUUGAGAGUUAGGUAAAUCCGGCUCUCUCUAAGGCUGAGACACGACGUCGAGCUACUACGGUAGUGAAGUCAUUGAUGCCAUGCUUCCAGGAAAAGCCUCUAAGCUUCAGAUAGUUAGGAAUCGUACCCCAAACCGACACAGGUGGUCGGGUAGAGAAUACCAAGGCGCUUGAGAGAACUCGGGUGAAGGAACUAGGCAAAAUGGUACCGUAACUUCGGGAGAAGGUACGCUCUUGAUGGUGAAGUCCCUCGCGGAUGGAGCUGACGAGAGUCGCAGAUACCAGGUGGCUGCAACUGUUUAUUAAAAACACAGCACUGUGCAAAAUCGCAAGAUGACGUAUACGGUGUGACGCCUGCCCGGUGCCGGAAGGUUAAUUGAUGGGGUUAGCGCAAGCGAAGCUCUUGAUCGAAGCCCCGGUAAACGGCGGCCGUAACUAUAACGGUCCUAAGGUAGCGAAAUUCCUUGUCGGGUAAGUUCCGACCUGCACGAAUGGCGUAAUGAUGGCCACGCUGUCUCCACCCGAGACUCAGUGAAAUUGAAAUCGCUGUGAAGAUGCAGUGUACCCGCGGCUAGACGGAAAGACCCCGUGAACCUUUACUACAGCUUGGCACUGAACAUUGAACCUACAUGUGUAGGAUAGGUGGGAGGCUAUGAAGACGUGACGCCAGUUGCGUUGGAGCCGUCCUUGAAAUACCACCCUUGUAUGUUUGAUGUUCUAACUUAGACCCAUUAUCUGGGUUGAGGACAGUGCCUGGUGGGUAGUUUGACUGGGGCGGUCUCCUCCCAAAGAGUAACGGAGGAGCACGAAGGUGGGCUAAUCACGGUUGGACAUCGUGAGGUUAGUGCAAUGGCAUAAGCCCGCUUAACUGCGAGAAUGACGGUUCGAGCAGGUGCGAAAGCAGGUCAUAGUGAUCCGGUGGUUCUGUAUGGAAGGGCCAUCGCUCAACGGAUAAAAGGUACUCCGGGGAUAACAGGCUGAUACCGCCCAAGAGUUCAUAUCGACGGCGGUGUUUGGCACCUCGAUGUCGGCUCAUCACAUCCUGGGGCUGAAGUCGGUCCCAAGGGUAUGGCUGUUCGCCAUUUAAAGUGGUACGCGAGCUGGGUUUAGAACGUCGUGAGACAGUUCGGUCCCUAUCUGCCGUGGGCGUUGGAAGAUUGAAGGGGGCUGCUCCUAGUACGAGAGGACCGGAGUGGACGAACCUCUGGUGUUCGGGUUGUGUCGCCAGACGCAUUGCCCGGUAGCUAAGUUCGGAAUUGAUAAGCGCUGAAAGCAUCUAAGCGCGAAGCGAGCCCUGAGAUGAGUCUUCCCUGAUACUUUAAGUAUCCUAAAGGGUUGUUCGAGACUAGAACGUUGAUAGGCAGGGUGUGUAAGCGUUGUGAGGCGUUGAGCUAACCUGUACUAAUUGCCCGUGAGGCUUAACCAUACAACACCCAAGGGGUUUUGUA